CUGGCCAGAUACAGUUUAACCCCGCAAGUGGCAGGCUAAAGGCAGAAGAAGGUGACCCUCUCACAGUGAGAUGUUCUGCUGACUGUAACCCCGCCUGCACUGUGACCUGGUGGGACACAUCCAGACAGAGGGUGAUCACGGGACAGAGGGAGGCUGUGUUGUAUAUACCAGCUGUAGACAGAUCUGUGUCUGGACAGUACACGUGUCACGUCAACAAUACACAUGGAAGUACAUCACGGAACCUGACGCUGGACGUUUUCUCACGUGAGGUUACUGAAGCUGGCGUCGCUUCCAUCAUCUACGUGGCUGCUGUUUGUUCUGUGCUGAUCGUCGUCAUCGCCGUGGUCGUCAUAUUUGCUGUUCGUAGAAAACAGACAGGUGAAGAGAGAGGACACAUUCAUAACCA
Haliotis rufescens (red abalone) is the source of this 406-nucleotide long non-coding RNA. RefSeq lists it as uncharacterized. The transcript is spliced from 3 exons. The record is from RefSeq and is a predicted model, not a curated record. NCBI's taxonomy places the organism in Eukaryota, Metazoa, Mollusca, Gastropoda, Lepetellida, Haliotidae.